AUCCAAUUGACCAGUCCUAAAUAGGACGAAACACGUGUCCUGUAU
Molecule: non-coding RNA, 45 nt
Filed under: Schistosoma margrebowiei
Lineage: Eukaryota; Metazoa; Platyhelminthes; Trematoda; Strigeidida; Schistosomatidae
Source: RNAcentral